UUAGGUUGGUGCAAAAGCGAUUGUGGUUUUUGCCAUUGAAAGUAAUGGCAAAAACAUCAAUUACUUUUGCAUCAACCUAAUAAAA
MicroRNA precursor from Chlorocebus sabaeus (green monkey), 85 nucleotides. NCBI's taxonomy places the organism in Eukaryota, Metazoa, Chordata, Mammalia, Primates, Cercopithecidae. The record is from Ensembl.